AAUCCAUGGUGCUGGCAUAUUUGAAUCAACAUUUUGAAGUGUCCCUAUGCCUCAUAGAAGCUUUCUCCCUCCAUUUGCCUAAAGACAACAACGUCUCUUCUUAGUUG
Non-coding RNA from Gossypium raimondii (Peruvian cotton), 107 nucleotides. The record is from Rfam. NCBI's taxonomy places the organism in Eukaryota, Viridiplantae, Streptophyta, Magnoliopsida, Malvales, Malvaceae.